GAUGAACGCUGGCGGCGUGCCUAAUACAUGCAAGUCGAGCGAACAGACGAGGAGCUUGCUCCUCUGACGUUAGCGGCGGACGGGUGAGUAACACGUGGAUAACCUACCUAUAAGACUGGGAUAACUUCGGGAAACCGGAGCUAAUACCGGAUAAUAUAUUGAACCGCAUGGUUCAAUAGUGAAAGACGGUUUUGCUGUCACUUAUAGAUGGAUCCGCGCCGCAUUAGCUAGUUGGUAAGGUAACGGCUUACCAAGGCGACGAUGCGUAGCCGACCUGAGAGAGGGAUCGGCCACCCUGGAACUGAGACACGGUCCAGACUCCUACGGGAGGCAGCAGUAGGGAAUCUUCCGCAGUGGGCGAAAGCCUGACGGAGCAACGCCGCGUGAGUGAUGAAGGUCUUCGGAUCGUAAAACUCUGUUAUUAGGGAAGAACAAAUGUGUAAGUAACUGUGCGCGUCUUGACGGUACCUAAUCAGAAAGCCACGGCUAACUACGUG
This 497-nucleotide ribosomal RNA is filed under the name uncultured bacterium. RNAcentral describes it as "partial 16S ribosomal RNA". It matches the Rfam family "Bacterial small subunit ribosomal RNA", at positions 28 to 507 of the family's 1533-position model. The record is from RNAcentral.